GUUUCCGUAGUGUAGUGGUUAUCACGUCCGCCUCACACGCGGAAGGUCGCAGGUUCGGUCCCUGCCGGAAACU
RNAcentral lists this transfer RNA (73 nucleotides) under Desmophyllum pertusum. Its description in RNAcentral is "Lophelia pertusa tRNA". It matches the Rfam family "tRNA". From Rfam's summary of the family: Transfer RNA (tRNA) molecules are approximately 80 nucleotides in length. Their secondary structure includes four short double-helical elements and three loops (D, anti-codon, and T loops). The record is from Rfam by way of RNAcentral. Lineage: Eukaryota; Metazoa; Cnidaria; Anthozoa; Scleractinia; Caryophylliidae.